Molecule: non-coding RNA, 865 nt
Filed under: Fusarium vanettenii 77-13-4
Lineage: Eukaryota; Fungi; Ascomycota; Sordariomycetes; Hypocreales; Nectriaceae
Description: Nectria haematococca mpVI 77-13-4 Eukaryotic small subunit ribosomal RNA
Rfam family: Eukaryotic small subunit ribosomal RNA
Source: Rfam by way of RNAcentral
GAUUCUGCCAGUAGUCAUAUGCUUGUCUCAAAGAUUAAGCCAUGCAUGUCUAAGUAUAAGCAAUUAUACAGCGAAACUGCGAAUGGCUCAUUAUAUAAGUUAUCGUUUAUUUGAUAGUACCUUACUACUUGGAUAACCGUGGUAAUUCUAGAGCUAAUACAUGCUAAAAAUCCCGACUUCGGAAGGGAUGUAUUUAUUAGAUUAAAAACCAAUGCCCUCCGGGGCUCACUGGUGAUUCAUGAUAACUCCUCGAAUCGCAUGGCCUUGCGCCGGCGAUGGUUCAUUCAAAUUUCUUCCCUAUCAACUUUCGAUGUUUGGGUAUUGGCCAAACAUGGUUGCAACGGGUAACGGAGGGUUAGGGCUCGACCCCGGAGAAGGAGCCUGAGAAACGGCUACUACAUCCAAGGAAGGCAGCAGGCGCGCAAAUUACCCAAUCCCGACUCGGGGAGGUAGUGACAAUAAAUACUGAUACAGGGCUCUUUUGGGUCUUGUAAUUGGAAUGAGUACAAUUUAAAUCCCUUAACGAGGAACAAUUGGAGGGCAAGUCUGGUGCCAGCAGCCGCGGUAAUUCCAGCUCCAAUAGCGUAUAUUAAAGUUGUUGUGGUUAAAAAGCUCGUAGUUGAACCUUGGGCCUGGCUGGCCGGUCCGCCUCACCGCGUGUACUGGUCCGGCCGGGCCUUUCCCUCUGUGGAACCCCAUGCCCUUCACUGGGUGUGGCGGGGAAACAGGACUUUUACUGUGAAAAAAUUAGAGUGCUCCAGGCAGGCCUAUGCUCGAAUACAUUAGCAUGGAAUAAUAGAAUAGGACGUGUGGUUCUAUUUUGUUGGUUUCUAGGACCGCCGUAAUGAUUAAUAGGGACAGUCGG